UUCUACGGCCAUGCCACCCUGAGGUGAGGCCUGAUCUCCUCUGAUCUUGGAAGCUAAACUGGGUCAGGCCUGGUUAGUACUUACUUGGGAGAAUGCCCUCCAAAAGCCUGCAGUCUAAGAUU
RNAcentral lists this ribosomal RNA (122 nucleotides) under Sus scrofa (pig). Lineage: Eukaryota; Metazoa; Chordata; Mammalia; Artiodactyla; Suidae. The record is from RNAcentral.